Molecule: ribosomal RNA, 468 nt
Filed under: uncultured bacterium
Lineage: Bacteria
Description: partial 16S ribosomal RNA
Rfam family: Bacterial small subunit ribosomal RNA
Source: RNAcentral
GACGAACGCUGGCGGCGUGCUUAACACAUGCAAGUCGAACGGAAAGACCCUGCUUUUGCUGGGUGCACGAGUGGCGAACGGGUGAGUAACACGUGAGUAACCUGUCCUUGACUUUGGGAUAACUUCAGGAAAAUGGGGCUAAUACCGGAUAGGAGCUCCUGCUGCACGGGGGGGGAUGGAAAGAUUCGGCGGUUUGGGAUGGACUCGCGGCUUAUCAGCUUGUUGGUGGGGUAGGGGCUUACAAAGGCUUUGACGGGUAGCCGGCCUGGGAGGUUGACCGGCCACAUUGGGACUGAGAUACGGCCCAGUCUCCUACGGUAGGCAGCAGGCGGGAAUAUUGCGGAGUGGGCGGAAGCCUGAUGCAGCAACGCCGCGUGCGGGAAGACGGCCUUCGGGUUGUGAACCGCUUUCGCCGGUGACGAAGCGGGAGUGACGGUAAUGGGUAAAGAAGCACCGGCUAACUACGUG